Molecule: small RNA, 99 nt
Organism: Treponema denticola ATCC 35405
Lineage: Bacteria; Pseudomonadati; Spirochaetota; Spirochaetia; Treponematales; Treponemataceae
Rfam family: TD-2 RNA
About the family: non coding RNA found in Treponema denticola
Source: Rfam
GCGAACAGGAUGUUCGCUGAUUUAAUCUUACGAUGUUUUAGACGUAAGUCUAAAACUCGAAAGCUAAAAAAUGUACAGGAUGUACAUUUUUUAGCUCCC